This 1208-nucleotide long non-coding RNA is filed under the name Gallus gallus (chicken). Lineage: Eukaryota; Metazoa; Chordata; Aves; Galliformes; Phasianidae. The record is from RNAcentral.
GCAGGUUUUUUUCCACAAAAGAAGUCCCACUGCUGUUUCUUUCACUGGAUAAUGCCAUCUUGCUGCCCAGUCUGGUUGGGGUCAGCGGUCACUGAAGGACUGGGUGUAUUGCUCUGCAAAAAUCGACGGAAGUCCUUAAUCAUGGGGCGGAGGACCUGGAUGAGGGCACUCAGUGCAGCCUGUGUUCCUUCCAUGGCUUGAGCCUGGCGCUCCUGCGCGCAUGCCUGCACCUCCUGAGAGCGACGGAUCAUCUGAAGCAAGUCAUUCUGCUGCUCCAGGUGCUGGGCAAUCUCCUUCACGUGUAAGUUGGUCACUCGCUGCUCCUGCAGGAGCUUGGCUGAGUUCAGAGCAAUGCGGCUUUUCAACUCCUGGGGUUUUGCAGAUACUUCGUGUUGAUGUGCCAUCAUCUCCAAGGGUGCUUCGGCAGUGACUGUGGUGGGGGCUUCUGUUGUGCAGUACUCCACGACCCCGUCCUCCAGACUGUGGUAAGUUGUCUCUGCAGGAAUCUGGGUCAGCGUGACGGUGGUGGCGGAGGCGGUGAUGGGGAUCUCGGUCCCGUCGGCCGCCCCGCAGUCCCCGCUGGGCAGGCUGAUGAUGGUGGCCUCUCCCAGCAGGUUGCAGAUGCGCUGUUGCAUGGGGGUGAGGAUGACGGGGGCGGCUGUGGCACCCGUGGGGUCCUCGCCCUCCGUCCCGGCACCGCCGCCGUUCUGGCUCUCGCCUCCCCCUUCCAUGGCGGCGCGCACUUGGGCCACUUUGCGCCGCACCUCAGUCUUGAGGUCUGACCACUUCUUCUUCACCUCGGGCAGCUCGCGGUGGCAGGUGGCGACGGCGUUGACGCGCCGCAGGAUGUCAUGCCAGGCGGCGGCCUUGGCGGCCAGCGGCACGCCCGCGUUGAAGUGGUUGAUGAGGAGGUGCUUGCCGCGCUCCAGCUCCUCCACGAUGAUCUCCACCUCCCGCUCCGAGAAGUUCAUCUUCCUCUUCUUGGCCGGGGGAGCCGGGGGCGACGCCAUGGCCCUGAGGGGAAGCGGGGGAGGUGGUACUCAGAGGGCUCCUGAGGGCCUGGGGGGCCCCGCGGCCGCCCCUCGGCCCUGCCCGGCCUCCCGCAGGGCCCCCCGAGCCCGCUCACCCCGGGCCGGGGAGGAGCGGGGGGGCCCGAGGCCCCUUAGGGCCCGGAGGUGUCGCUCCCUCCCCGCUCCCCCCCUUGGCAC